UCUGACUCUCCUGUCCACCUCUUUUCAAAUUCUCAGAGAAUCUGCAGAAUACUCUCUUGCUGUUUUAGAUGGGCUUGAGGCAAGUGUGGGAAACUUGCUCUGAAUCCUCUGUUGCAGAAGACAACACUGAAGUGCAGAAGGAUAACAGGGAAGAGAUUUUACAGGCUUGUGGUGAAUAAGCUCAAGAACCCAGAGAGAGCCUUGCAGUGAGCCCAGGUUCUUUUCCUUUGGACCACUCCAUUAUCCCCUUCACUGGCAGAUGGACUUUGCAACCCCAGGGACUAGAAAUUGAGCCCAUCACUAUUAACAUGACAGAAAUCAUCUGGAGGCUGGAGAGAAACGCCCCCGUGGGUCCUCCAAACAUUUGAAGAUUCUCCAGCUUUCCUCGUAUGUUAAUUAGUCUGCCCUCAUUAAACCUAACUUUGUACUUGCUAGAAAGAGGGGAUAAUCAUUAUGACUAUUUCUGUAAAAGAGAGUAAGUGAGGUAAUUAGUUCAAUAAAUGUUAAUUAAGUGCUAACCAUAUGCACUACUGGGAAGGUGCUGGAUACAGAACAUCAGAAGAGAGUCCCCGUUCAGAAGCAGUUCACAAAAAUCUCUCAACUGUUUAAAUCCCAAUAACAAGUUAACACUCCUUAUAAAAUGUCACAUUUAGAUCUCCCAAGGUUUCUUUUUUACCUUUUUAGGUCCUACAAGCUUCAAGUGCCUGAAGUUUCUCAUGUUUGCCUUCUCUCCUCGGUGGGAUUGACAGGUAUAUCUGCUAGAUGGGUCUCUGGCUAUCCUGAAUAAACGGUGUUCAUGGUGUAAAUUAAGCACUUGACAAUCACAUUCAUCUUCUUGAAGUUUUGUUUGUUUAUUUUUGAGAGAGAGAGAGCAUGCGCGCGUGCUAGUGAGGAAAUGAGAGAGAGAGAGAGAGAGAGAGAGAGAGAGAGAGAGAGAGAAACAAACAGAGAAUCCCAAGUAGGGGCCACACUGUCAGCACAGAGCCCAGUGCAGGGCUCAAACUCACAAACCAUGAGAUCGUGACCUGAGCCAAAAUCAAGAGUCGGAUGCUUAACUGACUGAGCCACCCAGGUACCCCACGUUCAUCUUUUUAAAUGCAAUGUUUAUUUAGCAAAUUCCUGCUAUAUGGGAAGUGUUC
Long non-coding RNA from Panthera uncia (snow leopard), 1139 nucleotides. RefSeq lists it as uncharacterized. NCBI's taxonomy places the organism in Eukaryota, Metazoa, Chordata, Mammalia, Carnivora, Felidae. The transcript is spliced from 3 exons. The record is from RefSeq and is a predicted model, not a curated record.